Lactuca sativa (garden lettuce) is the source of this 2221-nucleotide non-coding RNA. NCBI's taxonomy places the organism in Eukaryota, Viridiplantae, Streptophyta, Magnoliopsida, Asterales, Asteraceae. The record is from RefSeq and is a predicted model, not a curated record.
GGUAUAAUUUGCAUACCCCAACGAAUAUAUAUCUCGUCAUCGUUCUGCUAGAAAAUUUAGAUCUGCAAUCUUUCGUUUCUCGUUUUGUUCAAUCGACUUGCUAUGGCGAUAGAUCUGUCGACGAUCUACGGUUUAGUGCGAUUUUGCUUGUGUUCUUAUGGAUCGAGUAUGUUUUCCAUGAAACCGAUGGAAUCGAUACGAGUUGCUGAUUUAUGUCUUUGAUGUACUUUGAUCGACAGAGUUUGAUUUGUUCAGCCGAUGGAAUCGAUACUAGUUGUUGAUUUAUGCCGUUGAUUUACCUUUGAUCACCAGAGGUUGAUUUUUGGUCAACAUGGAUCUGUUGAUCAACGUCUCAGAUCUACAGUUUAUGCUUUUGCUAGAGCUAAUUAGAAGGUUCAUUGGCGAUUGGUGGUCCACGAUGCUUCUCAUGAUUCGGUUGGAUUAUUUUUAAUCCCUUGAUUUCGGAUCAUCCGAAUCCUUGAUACUUGUUAUUCUAUUGAACAAGUUCGAUUUGUAUCGCGGAACUUGAAUUUGAUCCAGUGAUCGGAACUUGAAGUAUGGAGAUUGACAUCCAGGUUGGUAUGUAGAGGUAGUAAUAUGUCUUGUUUUGAUUAGGGGAUCAUGUAUGUCCUAAUUAUAUCCUGUUAUUCGGCCUUUGCCAUGAUGGGUGCGCUCGCAUGGCAGGCAACUAUCCUAAUAAAAAUGAGUUUUUGUUUUUGAGGGGAGGUCGCACGGGGGUUUGCCCGGGAUCUCUCCUCUGGUGUGCGUCUCUCCUCUCUCUCUCUCUCUUGGUGUGUGUAUGUUUAUGUUUACCUCGAUACCGGUGCUCAGUUCCUCCCACUACAAUUCGAAUUCAAACAGCGCAACAACAAUUAUCCAGUGAACAACAUUUAUAUAAUGUUUAGCAGAUGAUUAUCACCAAAGGUACUUCCAAUUUAAUUGCUUUUCAUUUUUUCAGAAAUCAAUAGUCGUUAAUUCCGUCUCUUUUGCAAAAAAAUUUAAGCAUAUUAAUAAUAUAAUUUGGGUCUAUUCUAUAUAUUUAUAGAUAGCUCAUGACCUAUUACUUAAAAUAUAGUUCCACCUUAUAAUUGGGUUUUGGUUCAAAUGAUUUUAAUGAUUUUAGGCUACACAUCAUUUUCACAAUUGAUUUGCGUUAUUUGGAGGCUAUUUUCUUUAAUCGACCUCAUGCCUCCGCAUUAAUCCAAUAGUCGCAUUAAUCCAUAGUCGCAUGACGGGAACAUUAGAUAUCGAAAAAAAUUAUGGGCACGACUGAGAUUUUAUCCUAAAAUAUCCAUCCGAUAUAGGCAAAGUAGUCUUAAAAGAGCCUUCGUACAAAUCUUUGGGAUGUCGCCAAUGCAUUUUAAUUUGUUAAUAACCAAAAAAAAUGUCAACAUUUGUUAUAAGUAUGUUUGAUCCUUAGUGAAAUCAUAUUAUUAUUCGUUAUUAAAUUUGGUUAUUUAUUCAUAAUUUGAGUUGUGUAUGGCUUUGACUUGUGGAUUUAUUAUCUUUUUAACAUUUUAAUGUAAUCAUAUACUGGAUGCUGAAAAUUUGUUUGUAGCAGUGCCAUCUGUGGGCUGAACUUGUAUCGUUUGUUGAAUUGAAUCAAUGUACGUUUUGUUCUACUAUUCCUCUUUUGUGAGGCUUUUGGUUAGAACACAAUGUAAAAAAUUCAGAUGAUGUCGUUGUGGACUCUACUUGUGGAUGUUUGAAGACUGUGAUUAAAGCUCUCUGGAUUUCCAAGUUAUGUGCUGUUGUUAUUUGUAACUCACUUUUUGAUGCUGUGCUGGGUUCAUUUCUACAAUUUGUUUCCUGGUUCUCACAUGUCUAUCUUUUCAUGGUUCGAAGGAAGCAAAGUGCGUUAAUAAAAAAGUGCAACAAAGACUUGAUUGGAGAUCAACUGGGCUGAUAUCAGUUUGAUGCUUUUCCAGUAUUGAAAUUGUUGACCAAAUCUUUGUGAUUCAGUUGCUGCUAAGUAAAAACAUUGAAAGUUUUGUUGAUCCGUCCUUUCCAACAGACAAUUUUCAUCGGAGUUACUAAAUUUAUUAAGCCUGUGUGUAAGAGAAGCAAAUUUGGUCAUAUGAUUCUUGGAUGUUUGCAUUAAGUUUUUAAACAGUCUGUUAGGUGUAGGUUCCUAAAACUAAUGGAGCAAGGUAAGGUUGCUUUCUAUUUGAGGUGCCAUGCAGUAAUUUUCUUUAAAAAGUUUAAAAUAUAAAAGUUUUCA